RNAcentral lists this microRNA precursor (145 nucleotides) under Mustela putorius furo (domestic ferret). RNAcentral's name for it is "miRNA (ENSMPUG00000021909.1)". Lineage: Eukaryota; Metazoa; Chordata; Mammalia; Carnivora; Mustelidae. The record is from RNAcentral.
CAGGAUGCUCAGUUGGAUCUGAAUUUCAGAUCAACAAUGAAUAAUUUUUUAAUAUAAGUAGAUCCCAAAUAUGGAAUGGGACAUACUUAUACUAAAAUAUUAUUCGUUGCUUAUCUGAAAUUCCAAUUUAACUGAGUAUCACGUA